Molecule: non-coding RNA, 213 nt
Organism: Vicia faba (fava bean)
Lineage: Eukaryota; Viridiplantae; Streptophyta; Magnoliopsida; Fabales; Fabaceae
Source: the annotation of a GenBank genome assembly
AUGCUAUCCAACAUUAAGGAAGAGUCAAAGACAGAGUUACAUGAGAAAGCUUCUGUCGAUGUGUUGUAUCAUGAAAUCAAUGUUGCAAGGAAGGAAGUGAAAAAGGAGAGCCUCAAUGGAGAACCUUUAAAUCCGAAUGGAGGUGUGGGAGAGUUGAAGGAAAAGAUGACAUGGUUAAAAGAGAUAAGCAAAGCUGGAAAGAAGGGGAAUUAA